RNAcentral lists this ribosomal RNA (749 nucleotides) under uncultured Capnocytophaga sp. Its description in RNAcentral is "bacterial SSU rRNA". It matches the Rfam family "Bacterial small subunit ribosomal RNA", at positions 28 to 776 of the family's 1533-position model. The record is from RNAcentral. Lineage: Bacteria; Pseudomonadati; Bacteroidota; Flavobacteriia; Flavobacteriales; Flavobacteriaceae.
GAUGAACGCUAGCGGCAGGCCUAACACAUGCAAGUCGAGGGAGAGGUUACCUUCGGGUAACCAAAACCGGCGCACGGGUGCGUAACGCGUAUACAAUCUGCCUUUCACAUAGGGAUAGCCCGAAGAAAUUUGGAUUAAUACCUAAUGGCAUAUAAGAGCGGCAUCGUUUUUAUAUUAAAGCUACGGUGGUGAAAGAUGAGUAUGCGUUCUAUUAGCUAGUUGGAGAGGUAACGGCUCCCCAAGGCGACGAUAGAUAGGGGUUCUGAGAGGGAUGUCCCCCACACUGGUACUGAGAUACGGACCAGACUCCUACGGGAGGCAGCAGUGAGGAAUAUUGGACAAUGGUCGGAAGACUGAUCCAGCCAUGCCGCGUGCAGGAUGAAGGUCCUAUGGAUUGUAAACUGCUUUUGUAAGGGAAGAAUAAGGAGUACGUGUACUUUGAUGACGGUACCUUGCGAAUAAGCAUCGGCUAACUCCGUGCCAGCAGCCGCGGUGAUACGGAGGAUGCGAGCGUUAUCCGGAAUCAUUGGGUUUAAAGGGUCCGUAGGCGGGCUGAUAAGUCAGAGGUGAAAGCGCUUAGCUCAACUAAGCAACUGCCUUUGAAACUGUCAGUCUUGAAUGAUUGUGAAGUAGUUGGAAUGUGUAGUGUAGCGGUGAAAUGCUUAGAUAUUACACAGAACACCGAUAGCGAAGGCAUAUUACUAACAAUUUAUUGACGCUGAUGGACGAAAGCGUGGGGAGCGAACAGG